GUUUUAUUUUUCAGUAUUUGUUUUCUUCAAGCAUUUGGUCGAGAUUAAGAAUUAAAAAUGUCAUCCAAACAAGAAAUAAUGAGUGACCAGCGGUUUAGACGGGUUGCAAAGGACCCGAGAUUUUGGGAAAUGCCAGAAAAGGAUCGAAAAGUCAAAAUUGACAAGAGAUUUCGAGCCAUGUUUCAUGACAAGAAGUUCAAGUUGAACUAUGCCGUGGAUAAAAGAGGGCGCCCCAUUAGCCAUAGCACUACAGAGGAUUUGAAGCGUUUUUACGACCUUUCAGAUUCUGAUUCCAAUCUCUCUGGUGAAGAUAGCAAAGCAUUGAGUCAAAAGAAAAUAAAGAAGAAAAAAACC
Molecule: long non-coding RNA, 354 nt
Filed under: Homo sapiens (human)
Lineage: Eukaryota; Metazoa; Chordata; Mammalia; Primates; Hominidae
Description: non-protein coding lnc-SEL1L2-2:1
Source: RNAcentral